This 2931-nucleotide ribosomal RNA is filed under the name Enterobacter cloacae. RNAcentral's name for it is "23S ribosomal RNA". It matches the Rfam family "Bacterial large subunit ribosomal RNA". Lineage: Bacteria; Pseudomonadati; Pseudomonadota; Gammaproteobacteria; Enterobacterales; Enterobacteriaceae. The record is from RNAcentral.
GGGUUGUGAGGUUAAGCGACUAAGCGUACACGGUGGAUGCCCUGGCAGUCAGAGGCGAUGAAGGACGUGCUAAUCUGCGAAAAGCGCCGGCGAGGUGAUAUGAACCUUUGACCCGGCGAUGUCCGAAUGGGGAAACCCAGUGUGUUCCGACACACUAUCGUUAACUGAAUACAUAGGUUAACGAGGCGAACCGGGGGAACUGAAACAUCUAAGUACCCCGAGGAAAAGAAAUCAACCGAGAUUCCCCCAGUAGCGGCGAGCGAACGGGGAGCAGCCCAGAGUCUGAAUCAGCUUGUGUGUUAGUGGAACGGUCUGGAAAGUCCGGCGAUACAGGGUGAUAGCCCCGUACACGAAAAUGCACAGGCUGUGAACUCGAAGAGUAGGGCGGGACACGUGGUAUCCUGUCUGAAUAUGGGGGGACCAUCCUCCAAGGCUAAAUACUCCUGACUGACCGAUAGUGAACCAGUACCGUGAGGGAAAGGCGAAAAGAACCCCGGCGAGGGGAGUGAAAAAGAACCUGAAACCGUGUACGUACAAGCAGUGGGAGCACCUUCGUGGUGUGACUGCGUACCUUUUGUAUAAUGGGUCAGCGACUUAUAUUCUGUAGCAAGGUUAACCGUAUAGGGGAGCCGAAGGGAAACCGAGUCUUAACUGGGCGUUAAGUUGCAGGGUAUAGACCCGAAACCCGGUGAUCUAGCCAUGGGCAGGUUGAAGGUUGGGUAACACUAACUGGAGGACCGAACCGACUAAUGUUGAAAAAUUAGCGGAUGAUUUGUGGCUGGGGGUGAAAGGCCAAUCAAACCGGGAGAUAGCUGGUUCUCCCCGAAAGCUAUUUAGGUAGCGCCUCGUGAACUCAUCUUCGGGGGUAGAGCACUGUUUCGGCUAGGGGGCCAUCCCGGCUUACCAACCCGAUGCAAACUACGAAUACCGAAGAAUGUUAUCACGGGAGACACACGGCGGGUGCUAACGUCCGUCGUGAAGAGGGAAACAACCCAGACCGCCAGCUAAGGUCCCAAAGUCAUGGUUAAGUGGGAAACGAUGUGGGAAGGCACAGACAGCCAGGAUGUUGGCUUAGAAGCAGCCAUCAUUUAAAGAAAGCGUAAUAGCUCACUGGUCGAGUCGGCCUGCGCGGAAGAUGUAACGGGGCUAAACCAUGCACCGAAGCUGCGGCAGCGACACUAUGUGUUGUUGGGUAGGGGAGCGUUCUGUAAGCCGUUGAAGGUGGCCUGUGAGGGUUGCUGGAGGUAUCAGAAGUGCGAAUGCUGACAUAAGUAACGAUAAUGCGGGUGAAAAGCCCGCACGCCGGAAGACCAAGGGUUCCUGUCCAACGUUAAUCGGGGCAGGGUGAGUCGACCCCUAAGGCGAGGCCGAAAGGCGUAGUCGAUGGGAAACAGGUUAAUAUUCCUGUACUUGGUGUUACUGCGAAGGGGGGACGGAGAAGGCUAUGUUAGCCGGGCGACGGUUGUCCCGGUUUAAGCAUGUAGGCGGAGGUUCUAGGUAAAUCCGGUACCUUAUUAACGCUGAGGUGUGAUGACGAGGCACUACGGUGCUGAAGUAACAAAUGCCCUGCUUCCAGGAAAAGCCUCUAAGCAUCAGGUAACACGAAAUCGUACCCCAAACCGACACAGGUGGUCAGGUAGAGAAUACCAAGGCGCUUGAGAGAACUCGGGUGAAGGAACUAGGCAAAAUGGUGCCGUAACUUCGGGAGAAGGCACGCUGAUAUGUAGGUGAAGCCCCUGCGGGUGGAGCUGAAAUCAGUCGAAGAUACCAGCUGGCUGCAACUGUUUAUUAAAAACACAGCACUGUGCAAACACGAAAGUGGACGUAUACGGUGUGACGCCUGCCCGGUGCCGGAAGGUUAAUUGAUGGGGUUAGCGGUAACGCGAAGCUCUUGAUCGAAGCCCCGGUAAACGGCGGCCGUAACUAUAACGGUCCUAAGGUAGCGAAAUUCCUUGUCGGGUAAGUUCCGACCUGCACGAAUGGCGUAAUGAUGGCCAGGCUGUCUCCACCCGAGACUCAGUGAAAUUGAACUCGCUGUGAAGAUGCAGUGUACCCGCGGCAAGACGGAAAGACCCCGUGAACCUUUACUAUAGCUUGACACUGAACACUGGUCCUUGAUGUGUAGGAUAGGUGGGAGGCUUUGAAGCGUGGACGCCAGUCUGCGUGGAGCCGACCUUGAAAUACCACCCUUUAAUGGCUGGUGUUCUAACGUAGACCCGUGAUCCGGGUUGCGGACAGUGUCUGGUGGGUAGUUUGACUGGGGCGGUCUCCUCCCAAAGAGUAACGGAGGAGCACGAAGGUUAGCUAAUCCUGGUCGGACAUCAGGAGGUUAGUGCAAUGGCAUAAGCUAGCUUGACUGCGAGAGUGACGGCUCGAGCAGGUGCGAAAGCAGGUCAUAGUGAUCCGGUGGUUCUGAAUGGAAGGGCCAUCGCUCAACGGAUAAAAGGUACUCCGGGGAUAACAGGCUGAUACCGCCCAAGAGUUCAUAUCGACGGCGGUGUUUGGCACCUCGAUGUCGGCUCAUCACAUCCUGGGGCUGAAGUAGGUCCCAAGGGUAUGGCUGUUCGCCAUUUAAAGUGGUACGCGAGCUGGGUUUAGAACGUCGUGAGACAGUUCGGUCCCUAUCUGCCGUGGGCGCUGGAGAAUUGAGGGGGGCUGCUCCUAGUACGAGAGGACCGGAGUGGACGCAUCACUGGUGUUCGGGUUGUCAUGCCAAUGGCAUUGCCCGGUAGCUAAAUGCGGAAGAGAUAAGUGCUGAAAGCAUCUAAGCACGAAACUUGCCCCGAGAUGAGUUCUCCCUGACCCUUUAAGGGUCCUGAAGGAACGUUGAAGACGACGACGUUGAUAGGUCGGGUGUGUAAGCGCAGCGAUGCGUUGAGCUAACCGAUACUAAUGAACCGUGAGGCUUAACCUUACAACGCCGAAGCUGUU